GAUGAAGAACGUAGUGAAAUGCGAUAAGUAAUGUGAAUUGCAGAAUUCAGUGAAUCAUCGAAUCUUUGAACGCACAUUGCGCCCGCCAGUAUUCUGGCGGGCAUGCCUGUUCGAGCGUCAUUACAACCCUCAGGCCCCCGGGCCUGGCGUUGGGGAUCGGCGGAAGCCCCCUGCGGGCACAACGCCGUCCCCCAAAUACAGUGGCGGUCCCGCCGCAGCUUCCAUUGCGUAGUAGCUAACACCUCGCAACUGGAGAGCGGCGCGGCCACGCCGUAAAACACCCAACUUCUGAAUGUUGACCUCGAAUCAGGUAGGUAUACCCGCUGAACUUAAGCAUAUCAAUAAGCGGAGGA
This 353-nucleotide unclassified non-coding RNA is filed under the name soil metagenome. RNAcentral's name for it is "partial contains 5.8S ribosomal RNA, internal transcribed spacer 2, and large subunit ribosomal RNA". The stretch from base 1 to 120 matches the Rfam family "5.8S ribosomal RNA", at positions 35 to 154 of the family's 154-position model. The record is from RNAcentral.